Long non-coding RNA from Monopterus albus (swamp eel), 442 nucleotides. RefSeq lists it as uncharacterized. The record is from RefSeq and is a predicted model, not a curated record. NCBI's taxonomy places the organism in Eukaryota, Metazoa, Chordata, Actinopteri, Synbranchiformes, Synbranchidae. The transcript has 3 exons.
UCCACAGCAUGACCUGCUGUCACCAUUAAUGGAGCUGCGUGACUAGACAAAGCCCAGGAAGUCCUCAGCAAGCUGGGUCUAAGUAGGCAGCACAGUGUCCUCAGACAUCCCACAGAAAUGGUGACUCUUUGACCUGACACCUCAGUCACCACCACAUGCUACGAGCUACACACUGCACAAGCAAGAUCAGCUCUGUUUUCAGGCUCUACUAUCUCCUGAGGGAAAGAUCUGGGACUUUACAGCUAAAUGCUUGACUGUCUGUUUGCUGUUUGGUGCUCAGCAUGUACUGCACAGUUAGUUUUUAGAGCUUUAUCCGUAAAAAAAAGAUGACUGCUGUGACGACAACAAUAAUGAGAGCAGUGAGAGUAAGGUUAUGGGCUGGCAGCUAAUCAGUGAGCUGAAAGUCACUAUAUCAAUUCAGUUUUAUUUGUAUAAAGCCAAA